This is an RNA transcript of Benincasa hispida (wax gourd), 3380 nucleotides long. It is a transcript of the gene named GC-rich sequence DNA-binding factor-like protein with Tuftelin interacting domain-containing protein, with no coding region annotated. NCBI's taxonomy places the organism in Eukaryota, Viridiplantae, Streptophyta, Magnoliopsida, Cucurbitales, Cucurbitaceae. The record is from RefSeq and is a predicted model, not a curated record.
AAAAUUGACAAAUCGGGCGAAUAAAAUGAACCUUCAGCCCAAUUUCGCAGCGGUAACUGGCCACGGCUGAAGGCGGCGGUACAAUAUUCCGACGUUCAUAACAGGAAACCAAAUUCGAAAAAUCUUCUAAAGGAGGAGGAGGAGGAGGAAGAAGAAGAAGAAGAAGAAGAAGGGCAGCUACUAAAGUAGGUUUUCUUCUUAUUCAAUAAUUUUUUAUAUUAUCAGUCAUCCUAGGUUUUCUAUUUCAAACUUGACCCAGACUCCACUCCUUUGUUGUUCUUUAAAUUUUUAUUCUGGAGCCGCCAUAAUCCGUUUCCUUGAGUAAAAUUAGAAAAUCAGGGGCUUUCCCGAAUUCCUUCUUGGUUCUGAAAUUAGUGUAUAAUUUGUGUGUAUUUGAUAAGGGGAGAGAGAGCGAGAGAUGGAUGAUUAUCAGGAGAUGGAGAGGUUUGGUAUGGAGAAUGAUUACGAUGAUGGUCAAUGGAUUGAUGGCGAGUUUCUUUACCGUAAGCGCAAAGAGAAGAGGUCCCAAACGAAAGACGAUGUUCUUUAUGGUGUGUUUGCGACUGGGUCGGAUUCGGACUCUGAUGGCGAUGGAUUUUCGUCUCGGAAGCGCCGCAAGGACCGCGACUUGUCUAGGAAACCUGACCUCACCAAGCCUGUCAAUUUUGUAUCCACCGGCACCGUCAUGCCUAACCAGGAGAUUGAUAGGAUUUCCAAGGAUGGAGAUACUGACAAUGUGGACGAUGACCGGCCUGGCCUUGGCUUGGGUUCUAGCCCUUCUGGUUCUGGAUUGGGCUUUAAUUCGUCGAGUUCUGACAGAAAUCCCAAUGGGUUUAAGGAAAAUGGUUCCAAUGUUGAUGGAGAUGAAGAUGGCGAUGACUUCUUUUUGCCCACUGCGUUUGGGAGAAUCAUUAAAGAGGGAGCUGAAAGGAGGGAGAGGGAAAGAGUGAAAUCACAGAUAGAGAAGAAAAGUCGAGGUGUAGCCGGGAGCAGAAAAGAUUCUGACCCUGGGAAUGUUGGAGCGUUUGAGAAGCAUACUAAGGGCAUCGGCCUGAAGCUACUUGAAAAAAUGGGAUACAAAGGAGGUGGGCUUGGAAAAAACGAACAGGGGAUUGUAGCUCCCAUCGAAGCUAAAAUGAGGCCUAAGAAUAUGGGUAUGGGUUUUAAUGACUUCAAAGAGGCACCUAAGAUACCUGCUUUGCAGGAACUUGAGGAGAAAACAUUGCCCCAACCAACGACCAAGGCAAAGGAGAGGUUAUGGUCGAAGCAAGUUAGGUCUAAAAAGAAGAAAAACGCAUAUUUAACAGCUGAGGAAUUACUGGCUAGCAAGCAGGACCAGGCAUUGGAGGUUGUCCAAAAGGUGUUUGAUAUGCGUGGCCCUCAGGUGCGGGUGUUGACAAAUUUAGAGAAUCUGAAUGCUGAAGAGAAAGCCAGAGAAAAUGACAUUCCUAUGCCAGAGCUGCAGCAUAAUGUGAGGUUGAUUGUAGAUUUGGCUGAGUUGGAUAUCCAAAAAAUUGAUAGAGAUUUGAGAAAUAAGAAGGAAACUGCACUGAGCUUACAGGAAGAGAAGGAAAAGUUAGAAAUUGAGCUGGCUCGUCAGAAGAAGCAGUUGGAUAGUAUGGAAGAAAUUACGAGGAUGAUAGAACGAAUAGGAGAAGAUAAUUCUGCUGGAACAUUGACAUUAGAUGGACUCGCCAAGUGUUUUAGUGGCUUGCGGAGAAAAUUUGGUGAUGACUACAAGUUAUGUAACUUGUCUUGCAUUGCAUGUUCAUUUGCACUACCUUUGUUUAUUAGAGUAUUUCAGGGCUGGGAUCCUCUUCAAAAUCCUUCUCAUGGUUUAGAAGUGAUAUCGUUGUGGAAGACACUGCUUCAAGAUGAAGACUGUAUUGACAUCUGGGACAUGACAUCGCCUUAUACUCUCCUGGUCUCAGAAGUUGUGCUACCUGCCGUUAGAAUUUCUGGCAUAAAUACUUGGCAGGCUAGGGACCCUGAACCAAUGCUUCGGUUCUUAGAGUCUUGGGAAAAAUUGCUGCCUCCUUCAGUCCUUCAUACCAUAUUGGACAAUGUUGUCAUGCCUAAACUGGCAAGUGCAGUAGAUUUGUGGGAACCUCAGCGAGAUCCUGUUCCUAUCCAUAUGUGGGUACAUCCAUGGCUGCCAUUGUUAGGGCAUAAGCUGGAGGGUAUGUAUCAGGUCAUACGUACGAAGUUGAGUUUUGUUCUCGGUGCUUGGCACCCAAGUGAUGCUUCUGCCUAUACUAUAUUGUCACCUUGGAAAGCUGUAUUUGAUUCUGCUAGUUGGGAGCAGCUUAUGCGUCGCUUUAUAGUACCUAAACUGCAGCUUGUCUUGCAAGAAUUCCAAGUAAAUCCAGGAAAUCAAAAACUUGAUCAGUUUUACUGGGUUACUAGUUGGGCUUCUGCUCUACCUAUCCACCUCAUGGUUGAUAUAAUGGAAAAGUUCUUCUUCUCCAAAUGGCUACAGGUAUUGUAUCACUGGUUAUGUUCAAAUCCAAAUUUCGAGGAGGUUACAAAGUGGUACAUGGGCUGGAAAGAACUCUUUCCAAAGGAGCUUCUGGCUAAUGAAAGUAUCCGGUACCAGCUAAGUUGUGGACUGGAUAUGAUGAAUCAAGCCGUUGAAGGGAUGGAGGUGGUUCAGCCAGGUUUGAAAGAGAAUAUUUCUUACCUUCGGGUUCUUGAGCAACGGCAAUUUGAAGCUCAGCAGAAGGCUGCUGCGCAAGCUAAACAACAAGGCUCAGCUGGAUUGGGUAAUGCUUCUAAUUUGGAUAGUAUGGGUGGUACACUUGAGAUGACUCUAAAAGAAGUACUUGAGGCCCAUGCCCAACAGCACGGUUUGCUCUUUAAGCCUAAACCUGGACGGAUGCACAAUGGGCACCAGAUAUAUGGCUUUGGAAAUAUAAGCAUAAUAUUGGACACUCUAAAUCAAAAAGUGUAUGCCCAAACUGAGGAAUCAUGGUCUCUAGUAUCCCUUGAACGAUUGCUGGACAUGCACGGUAGUUCUACAGCAAAGAGACGGUAGAUGUAAGCUUGACAUAACAUUUUGAAGAAUUUUCCAUAUUGUGAAGCAACUUUAAGCAGUGUUUAGAUUAUGUAGACUGCUUGUACCAUAGGAGAAACUCUAAGCAUUGUGCAGGAUCAUGACACCAUCGAUACAACAUGGCUCGAAAUCAAAAUUCACAAAAAAUUGAUUCACAUUUAGUAGAUGGCAACACGAAUCAACAACUUCCUUUGGCAACGGAUGCAAAUCUCGUUCCAGAAGCUUUCCCUAUGAUCUGUUAUCGCUAUUUCUGAUCAAAAUCACAAUGGCAAAUAACACAGUAUCGCUUUCUGUAUAUAUACAGUAGACAAUGGACGGUCUCUACAAC